Molecule: ribosomal RNA, 614 nt
Filed under: Deronectes fairmairei
Lineage: Eukaryota; Metazoa; Arthropoda; Insecta; Coleoptera; Dytiscidae
Description: SSU rRNA
Rfam family: Eukaryotic small subunit ribosomal RNA
Source: RNAcentral
AGUCAUAUGCUUGUCUCAAAGAUUAAGCCAUGCAUGUCUCAGUACGAGCCGAAUUAAGGUGAAACCGCGAAAGGCUCAUUAAAUCAGUUAUGGUUCCUUAGAACGUACCCACGCUUACUUGGAUAACUGUGGUAAUUCUAGAGCUAAUACAUGCAAACAGAGCUCCGACCGGAGACGGGAGGAGUGCUUUUAUUAGAUCAAAACCAAUCGGCGGCGGGCGCGCGCUCGCGCGCGUCCGCACGCCGCUCGACCUGGUGACUCUGAAUAACUUUUCGCUGAUCGCACGGUCCAGCACCGGCGACGCUUCUUUCAAAUGUCUGCCUUAUCAACUGUCGAUGGUAGGUUCUGCGCCUACCAUGGUCGUAACGGGUAACGGGGAAUCAGGGUUCGAUUCCGGAGAGGGAGCCUGAGAAACGGCUACCACAUCCAAGGAAGGCAGCAGGCGCGCAAAUUACCCACUCCCGGCACGGGGAGGUAGUGACGAAAAAUAACGAUACGGGACUCAUCCGAGGCCCCGUAAUCGGAAUGAGUACACUUUAAAUCCUUUAACGAGGACCCAUUGGAGGGAAAGUCUGGUGCCAGCAGCCGCGGUAAUUCCAGCUCCAAUAGCGUAU